RNAcentral lists this ribosomal RNA (476 nucleotides) under uncultured bacterium. RNAcentral's name for it is "partial 16S ribosomal RNA". It matches the Rfam family "Bacterial small subunit ribosomal RNA", at positions 28 to 523 of the family's 1533-position model. The record is from RNAcentral.
AAUGAACGUUGGCGGCGUGGAUUAGGCAUGCAAGUCGAGCGUGUACCCCGCAAGGGGGAAAGCGGCGUAAGGGAGAGUAAUACGUAGAUACGUGCCUCCGGGUCUGGGAUAGCCACGGGAAACUGUGGGUAAUACCGGAUAAUGUCUGAGGACCAAAGGUGUGAUUCCACCUGGAGAUCGGUCUGCGUCCUAUCAUGCUUGUUGGUGAGGUAACGGCUCACCAAGGCUACGACGGGUACGGGGAGUGAGAGCUUGCCCCCGCUCACGGGGACUGAGACACUGCCCAGACACCUACGGGUGGCUGCAGUCGAGGAUCUUCGGCAAUGGGCGCAAGCCUGACCGAGCGACGCCGCGUGCGGGAUGAAGGCCUUCGGGUUGUAAACCGCUGUCAGUGGGGAGGAAGGCUCCGUGGAGAACGGGGUUUGACCUAUCCGCAGAGGAAGUGUGGGCUAAGUUCGUGCCAGCCGCCGCCGUAA